GCCAACGUAGCACAAUGGUAGUGCGUUGCUUUCCUAUCCUUGGGUUAAGCGCCCAAAAAGAGGCAGAGGCUGUGGGUUCGAGUCCCAUCGUUGGUU
This is a transfer RNA of Coprinopsis cinerea okayama7#130, 96 nucleotides long. It matches the Rfam family "tRNA". From Rfam's summary of the family: Transfer RNA (tRNA) molecules are approximately 80 nucleotides in length. Lineage: Eukaryota; Fungi; Basidiomycota; Agaricomycetes; Agaricales; Psathyrellaceae. The record is from Rfam.